UGGGGAAUUUUGGACAAUGGGCGCAAGCCUGAUCCAGCCAUGCCGCGUGAGUGAAGAAGGCCUUCGGGUUGUAAAGCUCUUUCAGCCGGAAAGAAAUCGUGCAGAUUAAUACUCUGUAUGGAUGACGGUACCGGAAGAAGAAGCACCGGCUAACUACGUGCCAGCAGCCGCGGUAAUACGUAGGGUGCGAGCGUUAAUCGGAAUUACUGGGCGUAAAGCGUGCGCAGGCGGUUUUGUAAGACAGACGUGAAAUCCCCGGGCUUAACCUGGGAACUGCGUUUGUGACUGCAAGGCUAGAGUACGGCAGAGGGGGGUAGAAUUCCACGUGUAGCAGUGAAAUGCGUAGAUAUGUGGAGGAAUACCGAUGGCGAAGGCAGCCCCCUGGGUCGAUACUGACGCUCAUGCACGAAAGCGUGGGGAGCAAACAGGAUUAGAUACCCUGGUAGUCCACGCCCUAAACGAUGUCAACUAGGUGUUGGGGGAGGAGACUUCCUUAGUACCGCAGCUAACGCGUGAAGUUGACCGCCUGGGGAGUACGCGAC
RNAcentral lists this ribosomal RNA (542 nucleotides) under uncultured Gallionellaceae bacterium. RNAcentral describes it as "bacterial SSU rRNA". It matches the Rfam family "Bacterial small subunit ribosomal RNA", at positions 355 to 888 of the family's 1533-position model. The record is from RNAcentral. Lineage: Bacteria; Pseudomonadati; Pseudomonadota; Betaproteobacteria; Nitrosomonadales; Gallionellaceae.